This is a non-coding RNA of Diaporthe sp. PMI_573, 105 nucleotides long. NCBI's taxonomy places the organism in Eukaryota, Fungi, Ascomycota, Sordariomycetes, Diaporthales, Diaporthaceae. The record is from the annotation of a GenBank genome assembly.
GGGCGUCUAGCUCAAAUGGUAGAGCGCGCGCUUAGCAUCAGUCUUCUCUUCUAUCAAGAGAGAUCAUCAUGCGCGAGGUACACGGUUCGAUCCCGUGGUCGUCCA